CAGAUGCUGAUAUAUUAAAAACCAUUAUUAAUCAUAGACUUACCAAACGGAAAUUUUAAAAACCUCCAAAAAAAUCAGUCGUACUUUUCACACAGUUGGACGUAUGGCAACCAUUCCUCGGCAAUUUUUCAUAUAAUAGCGAAUUGACGCUAAACCAUGAAAAAUUAUCCAAGAUAAUGCAAAGCGGUUUCUUUAUAACAAUUUUUGGCAAAAAACGAUUGAUGAAGAUAAUGAUGGUAAAAUAUAGUGUAGUAAGCUUUUGGAAAAUUUGUUAUUAUUGUAUCGUGAUGACCACUCUGAAACUACUUGUUUUAAAAAAAUCUUUAAAUCCUUUUAUUACUAAGGAU
This is a non-coding RNA of Cinara cedri, 347 nucleotides long. NCBI's taxonomy places the organism in Eukaryota, Metazoa, Arthropoda, Insecta, Hemiptera, Aphididae. The record is from the annotation of a GenBank genome assembly.